CAAGACUUUAAACAAUCUAACAUACAGCAUUAUCAUUUUAAAAUGCUUGUUAACUUUCAACUUUUCUUAUUCUUUGUUGUGCUUCUUUUCCUAAGGUGGCUGUAUAUCUGGGGAUUGUUGGAUGGUAGUGAUCACUGACAUGAUGGUUGAAAUGUUCAGAAGAGAAAGCACUCUAACACCUCCAACCUUAAAAGGUUGGUUUCCUGAUAGGAGGGUUUUCUCAGAUAAGGAGGAGGAAAUAAUCAGCAUACCACCAAAGAGUGCAAUAAAAGCACAUUAUCGAGUAGGCUGAUGCUAAAAUUCUGUCAGAAAAAACAUCAUCAUGAUCCUUCUCUUCUGUGUAACCUUUCAUGUUAUACUGGUCUCAGGUUCCUCUCUCAGCAACAGAGUCAACCAGAUUCCAGGUGACAUGUACAAGAAACCUGGGGAAACAGCCCAAAUCAAAUGUUCUCACAGUAUUCAGGACUACACCCAAAUCCUCUGGUACAAGCAAUUAAAGAACAAGCAGCUGAAGUUCCUGGGAUACAUGAACGUGAACGAUGGAUAUCCAGAAGAUAAAGAGGAUGUGAAAAUAGAAGGGUCUGCAACUCAAGACAAGAACUGCACAUUAACAAUUGAAAAACUCAAUGUGGGCAGCAGUGUAGUGUACUUCUGUGCUGCUAGUCAACACAAUGCUACAUAUCAUUGCUCUUCAAUACAAAAACAUCCCAGUAACAGUUUUUUUUCAUUUAACAGCCACCAUUUAACUGCUCAACCCUGACACCUGUGUAAACCGAUUUUAACCAAUGUUGGUCUUCGAUCUCAUCCAGAUCAGAUUUUAUAAUGGAGCUUCCUUAUGUGCAGCUAUGCAACACUUGACAGCAGCCUCAGACAUUCAGUAUGUCUGGUGUGGCUUCAUCUUACUGUAAAUAACCCAUGAAUGACAGUAUUGUCUCAUCAAAGUCAAGGACACUUCACUAAAUUUUGUACUACUAUAUAGGCAAAGUAACCAAGAGAUGUUUUCAUAUAUGCAGACUAAGGCAGCAACCAAGCCCAUGUUAGCUGUGAUCUCUUGUGCCUACCAAUAUUUGUAAACACAC
This 1079-nucleotide long non-coding RNA is filed under the name Mastacembelus armatus (zig-zag eel). RNAcentral describes it as "lncRNA (ENSMAMG00000027731.1)". Lineage: Eukaryota; Metazoa; Chordata; Actinopteri; Synbranchiformes; Mastacembelidae. The record is from RNAcentral.